AGAGAUGCCUUUCUUCCCUUCCGGGGACCUACACACAGGUGCUGCAUGGCUGUCGUCAGCUCGUGUCGUGAGAUGUUGGGUUAAGUCCCGCGGCGAGCGCAACCCUCGACUUUAGUUACCAUCAUUAAGUUGGGUACUUUAAAGUAACCGCCGGUGAUAAGCCGGAGGAAGGUGGGGAUGACGUCAAGUCCUCAUGGCCCUUACGCGCUGGGCUACACACGUGCUACAAUGGCAAGUACAGUGGGCAGCAAUCCCGCGAGGGUGAGCUAAUCUCCAAAACUUGUCUCAGUUCGGAUUGUUCUCUGCAACUCGAGGGCAUGAAGGCGGAAUCGCUAGUAAUCGCGGAUCAGCAUGCCGCGGUGAAUACGUUCCCAGGCCUU
This 380-nucleotide ribosomal RNA is filed under the name uncultured Sphingomonas sp. Its description in RNAcentral is "bacterial SSU rRNA". It matches the Rfam family "Bacterial small subunit ribosomal RNA", at positions 1002 to 1382 of the family's 1533-position model. Lineage: Bacteria; Pseudomonadati; Pseudomonadota; Alphaproteobacteria; Sphingomonadales; Sphingomonadaceae. The record is from RNAcentral.